This 440-nucleotide ribosomal RNA is filed under the name Ephedrus plagiator. RNAcentral describes it as "eukaryotic LSU rRNA". Lineage: Eukaryota; Metazoa; Arthropoda; Insecta; Hymenoptera; Braconidae. The record is from RNAcentral.
GAGUACGUGAAACCGUUCAGGGGUAAACCUGAGAAACCCAAAAGAUCGAAUGGGGAGAUUCAUCGUCAGCAUAUUCAAUAUAUAUGCGAGUCAUGAUGUAGAUUAUGUUUAAUGUUUAUCAUUAUACUAAUUUUCACAUACUUGUAUUAUUUUAUUGUUGAAUAUUGUCGUCGUGCACUUCUCCCCUAGUAGGACGUCGCGACCCGUUAAGUAUCGGUUUACGGCCUGAUUGUGUUGCCUUUGAUAGUAAUAUAUUAAAGACCAAUUAGUGUUUCCUAACCGAGUGCUUGGCGGUACUCGUACGGUAUUGAGUCGCAAUUUAUUUUGCGUUUACACCCAUUAUCAGCUAUUAGUUGUAAUGGUGUUCUGUAACUGGCUCUCAAUAUAAUUACCGGUCGGCGACGCUACUGCUUUGGGUACUUUCAGGACCCGUCUUGAAA